GGUGAACUAUCCCUUUAAUUUAUUAACAUCAUAAUUUAGCCUACUGUUAAACAGUGUCCCAAAAUAACAUUCUCUGUCCCACAUUUGGUUUGCUGUGAAUGUGUCACCUUACCUUUUUUACAUGUGAUAGGAUCAGCCACUUGCACUGCUCUGUUUUGCAGGAAGCUGAAUCUUGCAUCUUAACCCCAACUUCAAUGGAAAAAAGAACUGCCCCUACAUGAGAACACGAUUCUGAUAGUCUGUGAACAGAAUACAAUAUGACAUUUUUUAAACCUCAAAUGCAAACUGCACAAGUGGCAAAGUGCCAUAUACAGUAUAUCAGCACAUUUUGAUGAUGUGCAAUAUAGCCUACUUAUACUAAUAUGGAUGGAGUAGCAUUUUACAUUAAUCAACAUCUUUAUUCCUUAAAGCUCUCUCUCCGCUGGUUCUGAAGUACACAGUAUGCUACCAGUACGGUGUGUGUGUGUGUGUGUGUGUGUGUGUGUGUGUGUGUGUGUGUGUGAGAUCUCGUUGUAAACAAUCUAGCCAAAUUACGUACCCUGCCAUGCAAUUGCAAUGAGCUGCAAUGACUUCUCCAUUACGUACCCUGCCAUGCAAUUGCAAUGAGCUGCAAUGACUUCUCCAUCCUCCUUCGCAAUAAUCUAGGUCUUCAGAGGUGUGUCGCUUGACCUCUGAGAGUGGUUUACCUUGGAACAUAGACGACUGUCAGACUAACGUCGUUGUUAAGAUGUGUUGCAUUACUGCUAGCAUCUUAGCACAUGAAACAAUAUAAGAACAAACACUCACUCUGGCAAAGACCAAACAAUGUUCAUCGUGGAGCCGUUUGACACCGAGGUUGUGGACCCACCUGUUGACAAAAAAACUUUUAUAGGCCUUCAUUUGCUGUCUGGUGUAGUACAAUGUCUGAAGGACCAGAUAGUUGGUGAAGUCAACAGCCUCAACUGUCGGUAAAUCUUUCAGUUCUACUGAAAACUCAUUCAUCUUCAUGAGGUGCGGGUCAUGUCCAACAUAUCUGUUAAUUAACUCCUUGUAUCUAUGUCUCGAAACUGGAUCUAAAUCCGUACAAUACUGACUCUCUGCAACAGUUUCCUCUAUAGACGUAUUCUCCAUGUUUACUUCCUGCCCUCCAUCUGCCUUCUUCCCGCCCAUGCGCAUCAUCAUAAUCAUGUGACUGAAACCCUGCUAUUAACAUCUCUGUUUUUUUCAGAAUUUAUCAGUAAGAAAUGACCCGUCUUCCAGUUUUUAUAUCGACAAUGCAUUCCGUUCAUUUUUCAAAUUGGUAUGUUUGCCGGGCCGUGAAGAAAUAUAGAGCUGAGUGUCAUCUGCAUAAUCUAAUCUCCCAGGGGUAACAUGUAAAGUGUGAAAAGUAACGGCCCUAGUACUG
This is a long non-coding RNA of Cyprinus carpio carpio, 1384 nucleotides long. The record is from Ensembl. NCBI's taxonomy places the organism in Eukaryota, Metazoa, Chordata, Actinopteri, Cypriniformes, Cyprinidae.